CAAUAGCGUAUAUUAAUGUUGUUGCAGUUAAAAAGCUCGUAGUUGGAUUUCUGAUGAGAGCCCUGGUCACUUUAACGAGUGUACUGAUGUGGCGUUUUGUCGUUUCAUGGGGAUGCUUGCUGGUAUUAAGUUAUCGGCUUGUGGAUCCAUGUCGUUUACUGUGAAAAAAUUAGAGUGUUCAAAGCAGGCCAUCGCUGUGAAUACAUUAGCAUGGAAUAAUAAGAUAGGACUGUGGUGCUAUUUUGUUGGUUUGCGUACUACGGUAAUGAUUAAUAGGGAUAGUUGGGGGUAUUCAUAUUCAAUUGUCAGAGGUGAAAUUCUUGGAUUUAUGGAAGAUGAACUACUGCGAAAGCAUUUACCAAGGAUGUUUUCAUUAA
This 377-nucleotide ribosomal RNA is filed under the name uncultured eukaryote. RNAcentral's name for it is "partial 18S ribosomal RNA". It matches the Rfam family "Eukaryotic small subunit ribosomal RNA", at positions 592 to 976 of the family's 1831-position model. The record is from RNAcentral.